Molecule: ribosomal RNA, 983 nt
Filed under: uncultured Chloroflexota bacterium
Lineage: Bacteria; Bacillati; Chloroflexota
Description: bacterial SSU rRNA
Rfam family: Bacterial small subunit ribosomal RNA
Source: RNAcentral
CAGCAGCCGCGGUAAUCCGUGGGUGGCGAGCGUUAUCCGGAAUUAUUGGGCGUAAAGGGCCCGCAGGCGGCACAUUAAGUCAGGUGUGAAAUCUCCCGGCUCAACUGGGAGGGGACACUUGAAACUGAUGAGCUUGAGGACAGCAGGGGGAAGCGGAACUCCCGGUGUAGCGGUGAUAUGCGUAGAUAUCGGGAGGAACACCAGUGGCGAAGGCGGCUUCCUGGGCUGUUUCUGACGCUGAGGGGCGAAAGCGUGGGGAGCAAACCGGAUUAGAUACCCGGGUAGUCCACGCCGUAAACGAUGGAUACUAGGUAUGGGGGGUAUCGACCCCUCCCGUGCCGACGCUAACGCUAUAAGUAUCCCGCCUGGGGACUACGGCCGCAAGGCUAAAACUCAAAGGAAUUGACGGGGGCCCGCACAAGCAGCGGAGCGUGUGGUUUAAUUCGACGAUACGCGAAGAACCUUACCAAGACUUGACAUCGUAAUGCUAGCCUGGGAAACCAGGUGUCCCUUCGGGGCGUUAUGACAGAUGCUGCAUGGCUGUCGUCAACUCGUGCCGUGAGGUGUUGGGUUAAGUCCCGCAACGAGCGCAACCCUUGUCGCUAGUUGAUUUCUCUAGCGAGACUGCCCCGCGAAACGGGGAGGAAGGUGGGGAUGACGUCAAGUCAGCACGGCUCUUACGUCUUGGGCUACACACACGCUACAAUGGGUGGUACAGAGGGUUGCGAAGGAGCGAUCUGGAGCUAAUCCCACAAAGCCAUCCUCAGUUCGGAUUGCAGGCUGCAACUCGCCUGCAUGAAGUCGGAGUUGCUAGUAAACGCAGGUCAGCAAUACUGCGUUGAAUACGUUCUCGGGCCUUGUACACACCGCCCGUCACGUCAUGAAAGUUGGAAACACCUGAAGUCGAUGGGCUAACCCGUAAGGGAGGCAGUCGCCCAAGGUGGGGCUAGCGAUUGGGACGAAGUCGUAACAAGGUAACCGUA